CCUACGGGAGGCAGCAGUGGGGGAUAUUGCACAAUGGGGGGAACCCUGAUGCAGCGACGCCGCGUGGGUGAAGAAGCGCCUCGGCGCGUAAAGCCCUGUCAGCAGGGAAGAAAAUGCCGGUACCUGAAGAAGAAGCCCCUGCUAACUACGUGCCAGCAGCCGCGGUAAUACGUCGGGGACAAGCGUUAUCCGGAUUUACUGGGGGGAAAGGGGGCGCAGACGGCGAUGCAAGCCAGGAGUGAAAGCCCGGGGCCCAACCCCGGGACUGCUCUUGGAACUGCGUGGCUGGAGUGCAGGAGGGGCAGGCGGAAUUCCUGGUGUAGCGGUGAAAUGCGUAGAUAUCAGGAGGAACACCGGUGGCGAAGGCGGCCUGCUGGACUGCAACUGACGUUGAGGCCCGAAAGCGUGGGGAGCAAACAGGAUUAGAUACCCCAGUAGUC
This 440-nucleotide ribosomal RNA is filed under the name uncultured bacterium. Its description in RNAcentral is "partial 16S ribosomal RNA". It matches the Rfam family "Bacterial small subunit ribosomal RNA", at positions 338 to 795 of the family's 1533-position model. The record is from RNAcentral.